CAGGAGGGAGGGCCCGCCAAAUUAAGGGCGUCCCCCCCCUAAUGGGGACAAGAACCGUUACAUCAGGCCCCCAAACGCCUCGACGGUCUUCAGAAAACACCUGACACCGUUUGAGCGGAGAGGAAUCAAACAGUACAAGGAGGUGUGGUCCCUUGGCAUAGCUGAAGAGAAGGUUCAGAAGACAUACCCCCUCCGCCAUGGUUAUGAUGACAGUGAGGGACACUACAAGAUGGAAAAUACUAACAGGUGUCCUCCUGAGGGAUCCUACCACAAACCCUUCAGAGUAGAAGAAUGGGCUUGGUUGGGUUCAGGCAGAUGUAUUCAUAUUUAUUAACAUUUGGUUCUCUAAGUUAUGAUUGGGGGUGUUAAAUGCAGGUUAUCAAAGACCACAUCGCCUACCGCUAUGAGGUCCUGGAGCUGAUGGGUGAGGGCACCUUCGGUCGAGUCCUCAAGUGCAGAGACCACAAAACCCAGCAGCUGGUCGCCAUGAAGGUCAUUGCAAACGACCAGAGGUCUGCAGAUGAGGCGAUGGCAGAGGUGGAAAUUCUGGAGCUGCUCCAGAAGAAAGAUGUGCUUGACGUGGCCAACGUCGUCCA
Molecule: long non-coding RNA, 596 nt
Organism: Gadus macrocephalus (Pacific cod)
Lineage: Eukaryota; Metazoa; Chordata; Actinopteri; Gadiformes; Gadidae
Exons: 3
Source: RefSeq, a predicted model, not a curated record